AUGUGCACCGUAGGGGGUUCGGUGUCCGCGGCCGCGCCGCUGCUGACCUUCGCACUGCUGGUGGAUGAGUGGUGCGCAGCCAUGCUUCCGCCCUGGGGCAUGUCCUGCUUCUCCAUGCUGCAUAGCUUCGCGUGGUGUGUAAGGGGGUACAACAAGGAAGAUGGUCAUCCAGCCUACGCCAUGGUGGUGCAGAACGCGGUUGGCGCUGUGUGCUCCUUGGUCCUGCUGUACCUUGCCUGGCAUUGGCCCCCAGCACCCACGGCACAGGGCAGGGAUGCCCGGGGGAACCCCGUCAACCCCCCUGACCUCGUGGAAGUGGUAACGGAAGCUGGCUCCCCUCCCCCUGCGCCGACACAGACCCACGGCGGCGUCCGCCACCGCAGGAGCGCCGCCACUGACGACGAGGCCCGGGCAGUGCUCAUCAACCCAGACCUCGUCCAUGUGGCAAAGGCAGCAGGAACCGCCUCCGCGCCCCCUCCACUGACACAAGCCCAAAUCCAGGAACUCGAGAGGAUCGCCGCUGAAGAUCAGCUCCGGAGAGGCCUCCUCAACCAAGACCUAGUCGCAGUGGCAGCCGGCAAACAGCACGAGGAAUGA
This 597-nucleotide ribosomal RNA is filed under the name Triticum aestivum (bread wheat). RNAcentral's name for it is "partial small subunit ribosomal RNA". Lineage: Eukaryota; Viridiplantae; Streptophyta; Magnoliopsida; Poales; Poaceae. The record is from RNAcentral.